AGUGAACGCUGGCGGUAGGCCUAACACAUGCAAGUCGAACGGCAGCACAGUAAGAGCUUGCUCUUACGGGUGGCGAGUGGCGGACGGGUGAGGAAUACAUCGGAAUCUACUUUUUCGUGGGGGAUAACGUAGGGAAACUUACGCUAAUACCGCAUACGACCUACGGGUGAAAGCAGGGGAUCUUCGGACCUUGCGCGAUUGAAUGAGCCGAUGUCGGAUUAGCUAGUUGGCGGGGUAAAGGCUCACCAAGGCGACGAUCCGUAGCUGGUCUGAGAGGAUGAUCAGCCACAUUGGAACUGAGACACGGUCCAGACUCCUACGGGAGGCAGCAGUGGGGAAUAUUGGACAAUGGGCGCAAGCCUGAUCCAGCCAUACCGCGUGGGUGAAGAAGGCCUUCGGGUUGUAAAGCCCUUUUGUUGGGAAAGAAAAGCAGCAGGUUAAUACCCCGCUGUUCUGACGGUACCCAAAGAAUAAGCACCGGCUAACUUCGUG
This 492-nucleotide ribosomal RNA is filed under the name uncultured bacterium. RNAcentral describes it as "partial 16S ribosomal RNA". It matches the Rfam family "Bacterial small subunit ribosomal RNA", at positions 29 to 507 of the family's 1533-position model. The record is from RNAcentral.